This 275-nucleotide ribosomal RNA is filed under the name uncultured Sphingomonas sp. RNAcentral describes it as "partial 16S ribosomal RNA". It matches the Rfam family "Bacterial small subunit ribosomal RNA", at positions 37 to 339 of the family's 1533-position model. The record is from RNAcentral. Lineage: Bacteria; Pseudomonadati; Pseudomonadota; Alphaproteobacteria; Sphingomonadales; Sphingomonadaceae.
UGGCGGCAUGCUUAACACAUGCAAGUCGAACGGGAAGUGGUGUUUCCAGUGGCGAACGGGUGAGUAACGCGUGGGAAUUUGCCCCUUGGUUCGGAAUAACAGUUGGAAACGACUGCUAAUACCGGAUGAUGACGUAAGUCCAAAGAUUUAUCGCCGAGGGAUGAGCCCGCGUAGGAUUAGGUAGUUGGUGUGGUAAAGGCGCACCAAGCCGACGAUCCUUAGCUGGUCUGAGAGGAUGAUCAGCCACACUGGGACUGAGACACGGCCCAGACUCC